Long non-coding RNA from Cyprinus carpio (common carp), 498 nucleotides. RefSeq lists it as uncharacterized. The record is from RefSeq and is a predicted model, not a curated record. The transcript has 3 exons. NCBI's taxonomy places the organism in Eukaryota, Metazoa, Chordata, Actinopteri, Cypriniformes, Cyprinidae.
GAAACAAACCACAGAAGGGAGUUUUUCUUUCCAGGAAAAGCAAAGAUGGGAGGAGCAGAAAGAGAGAGGAUCGGUGAUAUCAGUCUGUCCUGAUAAAAGAAGAAACACAAACACACCUGAAUCACAACAUCUACAGAAAUGGAGAGAAUCACAUUGAUGUCUGUUCUGCUCACAGUCGUGCUCAGUUCGUCUCCGCGUCAGUAUCACUUUGUGAAUCAGAACAUGAGCUGGACUGAAGCUCAGAGAUACUGCAGAGAGAAAUACACAGAUCUGGUCACUAUCAAUGACAUGAAUGAACAGAAUGACACAAAUCAGCUCCUACAGAGAGUGAACAGCAGUGCUGACCGUGUCUGGAUUGGGCUGCAGGACACAUGGAUUUGGUCUCUGAAUAACUCUGACUUCUACAGAGGAAAUGAGUCUCAGUUUAGGAAGUGGGGAAAAAAUCAACCAGAUGGAGAUGGAGACUGUGUUUAUAUGAACAAUGAUGGACAAUGGCAU